AAGUCUGUUUCACUAUGUGGUGUGUAUCUAGAACCACACAGUGUGCUCAAAAUGCACUAGGUACUUAACAAAUAAUCACUGAAGGGAUGAAUGACAGAAUCAGAUGGAAAUAGCCUACUGGAGAGGAAUAAACAUGGCCAUUCUUGAUAGACAUGUUGACUGAUGGACUGAGAGAUAUAGAUACAUGCCAUGAGAUCUCUUUAUGAGCAGUGGUCUUAUGGAUAUCUGCAUGACCUCUGCUGAAGUAAAAUACUGUGGUUCGUGAGAAGACGUGACCUUUGGAUACAGCUGGUCUAGUCCUGGCUCUGCUGUGUCAGUGAAAGUGGAACAGUUACAUGGCUCUCCCGAAUCUCUGUUUUCACUUGGUUAAAUGAGGGUUACAUGUACUUACUUCCAGUGUUGUUAUGAGAAUUAAAUGAGAUUAAAUGUUAAAAUUUGUGAGCGGUCAAUAUAUGUACUUCUUUUCUCCCCCUCAGUCUCUUAAGAAUAUUCUACACCAGU
This 501-nucleotide long non-coding RNA is filed under the name Homo sapiens (human). RNAcentral's name for it is "HSALNT0335091". The record is from RNAcentral. Lineage: Eukaryota; Metazoa; Chordata; Mammalia; Primates; Hominidae.